AUUUAUAGCUACUUAAUAAUAUAACUUAUUGGAGCAACACAUCUGGGCAAGAGAAAUUUCUUCUUAGUCCUCUUUUGUUUUACAUUCCAAGCUAUACAUACGGUCAUACUUCAUUUUAUUAUGUAUUGCAGAUAUUGCAUUGUUUACAAAUUGAAGAUGUGUGGUGACCCCGCGACAAGCAAGUCUACCAAAGCCACUUUUCAGCAGCAUCUUCUCACUUCCUGUCUCUGUUUCAAUUAUGAGAACAGAUGUAGAGAUUAGAAUCGGCAAAGGGAAAAGGCCCAUGGGAUGAAGGCCAGAAGAAAUCAAGCUACAAGUUUUUCUCUCCAGUGGAGUCCCAUGAGGAUGCACACAACUCUCCCAGCAGCAAUGUGGGACAACACAUGCAAAGUAUUGGCCAUCAGGGAAGCUCCCCCCAGCUUUGGUCACCAGGGUUUUUUAUUGGUUGUCAGUCAUGCACACAUUCAGUGCUUCUGUGACUGACCUCACCCACCAGACUGUAACCUCAAGAGCAAAAUCAGAUUUUUUUAGUGUGCAAAAUGUCUUUCUCAAUAUUGAAAAUCCAUAUGAGUACAUGGACAAUUUCACAUACCAUGUGGACUUGCGAAAUAUUACCUAAUUUAGAGGGUUUGAAAGCUCAGAAGUUGUGUCCGGAGUUGUUUCCUUCCGGUGGGUUCAUAGUCUCACUGACUUCAAGAAUGGAGCCACGGACCUUCACGAUAAGUCAUUCCACUUCUUCUGAGGGAGUGAAGAAAGAGGCCAAGUUCAGAAUUGUACCAAUUGACUACCUUGACCUGGACAUAAGCACCAGAAUGGUUGCACUCAACAACAAAGACUGUACUGGGAAUAGAAAGAUGAACAAGACAGUGCACUUCCCUUCAAAGAGCUUACAGAAUCACAACCAGCAGAGAGAUUUUAAAGGCCUCUUGCUGCAUGAGAUGGAACAGUAAGACCAGAGGGAUCCUGUUUCUUCAUUUAUUUCAGUACCAGCAACCCCAUUGAGUUCAUCACAUCCUCAUGGAAGAUAAAAAGCAGAUGGAAUAGCAAUAACAACAACUAAAGGACAGAAAAACCUAGCAACCACAAGGCAAGAGCAAGAUAAAAAUAAGAAUAAUAAAAGAUAAAUGCACGAAUUCCUAAACACCUUCCUCCUCUUCUCUCAGGAGUUCCAAUGCCUGAAUAGGAAAAUAACAGACAUCCCAGAAGAAUACUGAACAAUGCAUACAAAUAAGUACAUCGCUGAAGAAGCAAACUGCCCAAUAAAGUCUUCAAUCUCUGUGGUGGUAAGAAU
Molecule: long non-coding RNA, 1291 nt
Filed under: Homo sapiens (human)
Lineage: Eukaryota; Metazoa; Chordata; Mammalia; Primates; Hominidae
Description: HSALNT0330627
Source: RNAcentral